RNAcentral lists this ribosomal RNA (264 nucleotides) under uncultured archaeon. Its description in RNAcentral is "partial 16S ribosomal RNA". It matches the Rfam family "Archaeal small subunit ribosomal RNA", at positions 719 to 982 of the family's 1478-position model. The record is from RNAcentral.
AGUCACUGACAUUAGAUACCCGGGUAGUCCAGGGUGUAAACGCUGCAGACUUGGUGUUGAAGGCCCUUUGGGGGCAUUCAGUGCCGGAGAGAAGUUGUUAAGUCUGCUACUUGGGGAGUACGUCCGCAAGGAUGAAACUUAAAGGAAUUGGCGGGGGAGCACCGCAACGGGAGGAGCGUGCGGUUUAAUUGGAUUCAACACCGUAAACUCACCAGGGAAGACUGUUACAUGAAGGCCGAGAUGAAGACUCUGCUAGAUUUUCAG